CGCGAAACCUUUACACUGCACGCAAGUGCGAUAAGGGGACCCCGAGUGCGAGGGCAUACAGUCCUCGCUUUUCACUACCGUACGAUGGUAGUGGAAUAAGAGCUGGGCAAGACCGGUGCCAGCCGCCGCGGUAAUACCGGCAGCUCGAGUGAUGGCCGAUCUUAUUGGGCCUAAAGCGUUCGUAGCCGGCCACACAAGUCCACCGGGAAAUCCGCCAGCCCAACUGGCGGGCGUCCGGUGGAAACUGUGUGGCUAGGGACCGGAAGACCCGAAGGGUACGUCUUGGGUAGGAGUGAAAUCCUGUAAUCCUGGACGGACCGCCGAUAGCGUAAGCACUUCGGGAAGACGGAUCCGACGGUGAGGGACGAAAGCCAGGGUCUCGAACCGGAUUAGAUACCCGGGUAGUCCUGGCCGUAAACGAUGUCUGCUAGGUGUGGCUCCCACUACGAGUGGGUGCUGUGCCGUAGGGAAGCCGCUAAGCAGACCGCCUGGGAAGUACGUCCGCAAGGAUGAAACUUAAAGGAAUUGGCGGGGGAGCACUACAACCGGAGGAGCCUGCGGUUUAAUUGGAAUCA
This 575-nucleotide ribosomal RNA is filed under the name uncultured haloarchaeon. RNAcentral describes it as "bacterial SSU rRNA". It matches the Rfam family "Archaeal small subunit ribosomal RNA", at positions 340 to 914 of the family's 1478-position model. The record is from RNAcentral. Lineage: Archaea; Methanobacteriati; Methanobacteriota; Halobacteria; Halobacteriales; Halobacteriaceae.